CACUGUUGUUUUUUAUUGGUCGUCGUGAAAAAAAACAUAAGGGGUAACACAGUCGAUAUUUAUCAGUUAAAACAUAGGGGGUAACACUGUCGUUUUUAUCAAAUGAAACAUGAGGGGUGACACUGUCGUUUUUUUAUUGGUCGUCAUGAAAAAAACAUAAGGGGUAACAAUGUUGUUUUUUAUUGGUCGUCAUGAAAAAAACAUAAGGGGGGUAACACUGUUAUUUUUUAUUGGUCGUCAUGAAAAAAAACAUAAGGGGUAACACUGUUGUUUUUUAUUGGUCGUCAUGGAUAAAAA
This is a long non-coding RNA of Gadus morhua (Atlantic cod), 297 nucleotides long. NCBI's taxonomy places the organism in Eukaryota, Metazoa, Chordata, Actinopteri, Gadiformes, Gadidae. The record is from Ensembl.